CGGGAAGAGCUCAAAUUUGAAAUCUGGCGUCCUCAGGGCGUCCGAGUUGUAAUCUAUAGGAACGUUUUCCGUGCCGGCUCAUGUACAAGUCCCUUGGAACAGGGCGUCAUAGAGGGUGAGAAUCCCGUACUUGACAUGAACUACCGGUGCUCUGUGAUAC
RNAcentral lists this ribosomal RNA (160 nucleotides) under Piskurozyma silvicola. Its description in RNAcentral is "partial large subunit ribosomal RNA". It matches the Rfam family "Eukaryotic large subunit ribosomal RNA", at positions 99 to 252 of the family's 3401-position model. The record is from RNAcentral. Lineage: Eukaryota; Fungi; Basidiomycota; Tremellomycetes; Filobasidiales; Piskurozymaceae.